This 253-nucleotide ribosomal RNA is filed under the name uncultured bacterium. Its description in RNAcentral is "partial 16S ribosomal RNA". It matches the Rfam family "Bacterial small subunit ribosomal RNA", at positions 524 to 776 of the family's 1533-position model. The record is from RNAcentral.
UACGUAGGGGGCAAGCGUUGUCCGGAAUCAUUGGGCGUAAAGAGCGUGUAGGCGGCUCGGUAAGUCCGCUGUGAAAGUCCAGGGCUCAACCCUGGAAUGCCGGUGGAAACUGUCGAGCUAGAGUCCGGAAGAGGCGAGUGGAAUUCCUGGUGUAGCGGUGAAAUGCGCAGAUAUCAGGAGGAACACCAAUGGCGAAGGCAGCUCGCUGGGACGGCACUGACGCUGAGACGCGAAAGCGUGGGGAGCAAACAGG